AGUUUUGUAAGGGGCAUGAAAUUCUG
This 26-nucleotide non-coding RNA is filed under the name Cricetulus griseus (Chinese hamster). The record is from RNAcentral. Lineage: Eukaryota; Metazoa; Chordata; Mammalia; Rodentia; Cricetidae.